Molecule: RNA transcript, 3802 nt
Organism: Spinacia oleracea (spinach)
Lineage: Eukaryota; Viridiplantae; Streptophyta; Magnoliopsida; Caryophyllales; Amaranthaceae
Exons: 3
Source: RefSeq, a predicted model, not a curated record
UCUGUAACUCUGUUUCACUUGUUCUGGUAAAAGGGUUGAAAGAAAGUUGUGGGUUAUUUUGGUGUGGUACUUUACUUUAGAACUGUCAUUGUGGGUUUUUAUAUAGACAGAUUCUAUAUUGAUGGAGAAGACAGAGGUGUUGGUAGGAUAUUACAAUUUCCUGUAAGGUGAGAGUGAUGAUAAAUUGUUGAUAAGGAAUGCUUGGUUGCUGUAGUUUCAACUUGAUAUUGUGUUUGUUGAUUCAGUCAAUAUAUUAGCUGCCAGGUUCAGGAAUUCAAUUACCUUGUUUCUGGUGGCCUUGUUUUUUUUGUGUGGUUUUUGUGAUUCCAAAAAUGACACCUUUUUCUUGUUAUGGCACGAGUAUGGAUAAGUCGACUCGGUACUAAUUAUUGGUGUACCUUUGUUUCAAAACCGCUGAUGGUCGUGGGGAGGGAGGAUAAGCCGAACACUUGGUUUGUGGAUUGGUAAUUUCGUGCACACAUGUGACAAUCUAAGUUGAUACAUGUCCCUCAGUGCGUGAUUGGUUCGUCGAAACACUGUGCUAGGUGCCUCACCCCUCAAGGGUACUGUGUAGACUCUUAGGCCCUGUUUUGUUUUCCCUGGACUGAAUGUUACUAAACUGCAACAAAAAAAAGGGCCUUAUUGCUGUAAUGUUUUGCACUGAUGCAUACAGACUGUGGUUAGGUGCAAGCAGGCAACUUUGAUCUGAUGCCUUGUUACUCGACGAGGCAACUUUGAUCUGAUGCCUUGUACUGGCAACAUUUUUUUUCACUUUCUCUCUUUUUGUCUCCUUUUCUCUUUCUUCCGUCGAUUUAUUCCUCAUAUUGACCUGGUUGCUUCUCUUCUUCUUUAUCUCCCCGUUUUCAAUUUCUGUUCUCUCAUAUUGACCUGGUUUAUGUUCUUGCCCCUUCAUGCUUGCUCCCCAUUUUAACCUCUCUUUUCUCCCCUUCCUGCUUAAUCUGAUAAAAAAUGGAAGAGACGGAAGACAAGGAUGUUUUACAGACACAUCUCGCCUAGAACCAGAUCUCCAAGGUAAGGGCUUACCUACUUUUCUCGAUCUCCUAUUAUAUCGGUUCUCAUUUUUUUAACUACUAGGGUUAUAAAGAUUUAUGAAGUUUAGGUUUUUUUGGUUUACAUGGAUGAUAAUUUUAUUUUUGAAUUCGUUCUUUUUCCCGUCAAUUUUCAGAUCCAAUUCUCGAUUCUUGAAGUCUACUGUGUUUGAUUUUGUUUUGGAUUUUAUGAAAUUUAAACAAUUAGAAAUCAUUGUACGGAGAAUGCUAUGAUUGAGUUUAGGAAGAUUGAAGGAGAAUGCUGCUACAAUUAAGAAUGAGUGCUAAUGUGGCCUUAUCUGCCCAAUGGAAAUCAAAUGUUUCUGGCGAUGAACACACCUGGGUCACUUUAAGAGCAAGGUCAAUUUUCUCACUUGCCUGUGGAUGAAUAUUCGGCUAUUAUUGAUUAAUUUUUCGAUAUCAUAAUUGAAUAUGUUGUGGAUCGAGUAUUGAUUUGGGGAACUUGGUGUAGUAUGCAUACAUGAUUGUAUGCUUUUAAUUGAUAUUUUUUAUUCCCUUAAUGUUUGAAGGACUUGAAGAAUUAGUCCAUCAUAUCGGAAUGAGACAUAUAUAAUCAUGAUAGGAGCUAUUAUACAAGCUUUUUGUCUCUUUUUAUGCUGAUGAACUAGGGGUUAAAAAAAUUCAAGAAGGAAACUAACAUUUUCAAAUUUCAUGGUUCUCUUUGUGGCUUAUCAAUCCUUGUUCAGACAGUUUUUUUGUUUUCCUACCUAGGUUAAAGUAUUAAAGAACAUUUUAGAUCAUGUCACUUCAUAGAGAAUGUUUCUGGUGUCCCGGAAAUCUUCUUUCACAGUCUCACGAAAGAGCAGUACACUCCAGGCUUCCUUUUCCUGCCGAGUUAUGAUUUCAGUGAUGUAUUUUUCUGAAAGUUAUGUGUGUUUAGUUGUCUAUUGACUUUACAAUGAUCUAAACUUGAAGCUUCCCUAGAUCUAGAUAUCUAAAUAAGCUCGUCUUUAGUUUGGAACGUAAAUGACUAGACUAUAUAUAUAAGAGAAGCUUGCAUAUGUAAUUAAGAUGUGAUAUUUGCUGAUGAGUACAUAGAAUGCGAGCUCUUGAUUCUCGUCAUUGAUUUGGUCCUUCACAAGCCUCAAGCUUACAGGCACUUUCUCUUCAACGUGCUCCACCGCAAUAAUUCAGAUUUUGACACCUAAUUGUUCAAAGCAUCCUUAUUUUUUUUUGGCAAUUCAAAGCAUCCUUCUUUUUCCUCUUUGUUGAUGCUUACAAGUUAUGGAUUUUGAAUGAGACCUCAAAAGUGUUGUCGGUUUUGACAUUGGGAUUGAAAUCUUUGGGAUGUUCCCUUAUAGGGAAUUUGGUGUUCUUUUUGUGUUUUCAAGGAGAUUUUAUACUUUUAUAGAGGGUUUUUCUGGGUUCAAAGAUGUGUUGCUCACCGUGGUUGUUUCAAGUUACUUGAAGAUUUAUAUGCUGUCCAUGUUGAUCUGGGAAUUCCCUGCUUCAAUGGUUCAUAUCAUUGAUUUGUUUGUUAUGUCAUCUAAUCUGGUAGCUCUACGGGUGAUCUCUGAAUCCUCUUUUACUAAAUGUGUCGGGUUGUGCCUGGGUGCCCAUGCCAUGAAGUUCUUUGUAAACUGGAUGCUAAAAUAGUGACGAUGUUGCUGUUGAAUUCUGGGUCAUUCAAUCAUUCAUUUACAGGAUUCCAUACUUCUAUUCUCGGUUAUCAGAUAUAGUGAGUUGGAUGCUUUAAGAUCUAUUCGCGGUUAUUGAACAUGUUUAGAGAGAACACUCAUUUUUUAUUUUGACUGAAUGAAUUAUCUGGUUCCCUUGAUCUAGAAUAAAAUGUGUUUAUUAUGUUGCACUUUGAGCACAAUUUUUUUAGUAGCAGGUUGGUAACAUCUAACAUGGAUUCCCAGAAGAAUCCAGCUGAAACUAAAUCAUCUGCUACUGCACCAACUCCAGCAAUUGCUUCAUGUCGGAGGAAGAAGAAAGAUGAUGCGACUUUCCUAGAGGAUUUAAAGGGCCAUAUUGAUGAGUUUAUCGAUGCUUCCAUGGAUGAACAUAAGUUAUGCUUCACAAAAACCAUUCAAAAGGGCAGAUGUUUUCAAUAUCGAAGGUAGUGGCACAACGGAAUUCUGAGCAGCAGGAAGUAGAGAGUGUUCUUUUUACCCCUGUUUAGCGUUAGUUUUGACUUUUGAACACCGUUAUAAGUUAAUAACGUAUAUUUAUGAUAUUCUAUCAUCUAGGAUAACUACGUAAUAAACUUGUGACUUAUAUUCACUUACAGAAAUGUUUACUUCUUUGCAAAUAUGCUUCCUUUGUAUCCUGUGCUUUAAAAAUCUGUCUAAUUCUGAGGAUAUUCUAAUUUGUUGUUGGUAUCUUUUGUUUGAGGAACUCUUGGCAACAUCUACUAAGGUUGUUAUCACUUGGGCACAAAGUGUGGCUUCAGAAGACCACCCGCGAACCACAGGAAUCAACUGUAGACCGUCGCAUUUGAGGAACAACUUGAAAUAGUACACUACUUAUAGCACUAUGACAGGAGUUGUCAUGAUGUAGGAUAAGAGCUCCAAGGAUAUGGUCCCCCAAAGUAAUAGGAUUGUUACAUUGUAGUCAGCUCAUGAGAUAGCAGCUGAUUGUAAAUGGUUAUAUGAGGGUGUUACGGAUGCAACAAAAAAGAUGGUUUAAUGUUGCGCUUAAAUAGUUAUUUAUGUAGAUGGAUUCAACCAUAAACAUUUCCCGUAGUUAUUGAUGAAUCAUGUAAUUCUUGUUUAAUUAGUAUAGUUUUU